CCCAAAAAGCCCUAUCCUUUUUUUCAAUCAGAUCCAGAACGAACGAACCCCAAAGCCCCAAAAAUCAUUCCCCAAAAUCAAAGAGGAGUUCCAAAAUCGAACGACAUCGUCUACACAAAAUGGAAGCCCAAAAAUCGUUCGUUUUAUAGUCAAAAUCUUUCAAUUUCAAUCAGAUCCAGAACCUAUACUUUCAUUGAAUUACAGUUUGUUUUUUUUGAUUCGAGAUGGCAACUAUGAACAACAAUUUGAAUGUUCUCAAAAGAAUCGGUGGAGAAUCACGACGAGGUGUUGAUAGUUGUUUAGAAAUGCCACUACUAUCCCUGAAUGUCUUCAUACAUAGUGAUCGAAUUCAAGUUAAAGUCAACAAGUUCUCAUCUACCAAGACACAACUUCCUUAUGAUUACUAUUACUUGAACUAUUGUAAGCCCAAGCAUAUUCAAAACACUGCAGAAAAUUUGGGCGAGGUGCUACGAGGAUUUAGAUAAUUUACCGGUUGCUGUUCUUAGACAAUGACGUGAUGGUAGUCCUUCAACCACUUAUGAAGAUGGUUCCCGUGUUGGCUUCAAAGGAAACUAUGCUGGAGCAAAGAUGAAAAAUACUUCAUCAAUAAUCACUUAAGCUUUAGAGUUAUGUAUCAUAAGGAUCUGGAGACUGAUGCUGCUCGUAUUGUUGGGUUUGAAGUUACGUCUGAUGAUUUGGAUGAAAUUUAUGAAGAAUGGGCAAAUUAUGUGGCAAUUUCAUUUACCGGUCUUGAAUUGUAUAUAUUUAGCGGUUGUAAACUUUUAUGGUUAGUUUUAGAAUUUUAAAAUUACUUGUGGUUGUAUGAAACACAUUGUUUUGAUAUAUAUGAAAUGUGUUUAUUUGACUUA
Erigeron canadensis is the source of this 869-nucleotide long non-coding RNA. RefSeq lists it as uncharacterized. The record is from RefSeq and is a predicted model, not a curated record. Lineage: Eukaryota; Viridiplantae; Streptophyta; Magnoliopsida; Asterales; Asteraceae. The transcript is spliced from 5 exons.